Molecule: ribosomal RNA, 468 nt
Filed under: uncultured bacterium
Lineage: Bacteria
Description: bacterial SSU rRNA
Rfam family: Bacterial small subunit ribosomal RNA
Source: RNAcentral
ACUCCUACGGGAGGCAGCAGUGGGGAAUAUUGCACAAUGGGCGCAAGCCUGAUGCAGCCAUGCCGCGUGUAUGAAGAAGGCCUUCGGGUUGUAAAGUACUUUCAGCAGUGAGGAAGGUGGGUAUGUUAAUAGCAUACUCAUUUGACGUUAGCUGCAGAAGAAGCACCGGCUAACUCCGUGCCAGCAGCCGCGGUAAUACGGAGGGUGCGAGCGUUAAUCGGAAUUACUGGGCGUAAAGCGCAUGCAGGUGGUUUGUUAAGUCAGAUGUGAAAGCCCGGGGCUCAACCUCGGAAUUGCAUUUGAAACUGGCAAACUAGAGUACUGUAGAGGGGGUAGAAUUUCAGGUGUAGCGGUGAAAUGCGUAGAGAUCUGAAGGAAUACCGGUGGCGAAGGCGGCCCCCUGGACAGAUACUGACACUCAGAUGCGAAAGCGUGGGGAGCAAACAGGAUUAGAUACCCUGAUAGGCU